This 574-nucleotide long non-coding RNA is filed under the name Salvia miltiorrhiza (redroot sage). RNAcentral's name for it is "long non-coding RNA (SMIL_LNC012713)". Lineage: Eukaryota; Viridiplantae; Streptophyta; Magnoliopsida; Lamiales; Lamiaceae. The record is from RNAcentral.
CUUGAGACUGGGUGUUUUGUGGCGAAUGUCUUCUCCUUGAGUAUGCCCGAAGUUUUUGUGUACUCGCACUUUUUCGAUAUUUAUAUACAUCGUAUUUUCAUCAAANAAAAAAGAAAAUAAGGCCAAAUGUAGUAGUCUAGCCAAUCAAAAACACAAUUUUCUUAUCUCGUUAUUAUCGGCGCAUCACUGCGCUCAUGAUGUACACAAAAACAGACCAACAAGAAAAAUAAAACUCAAACAUCAAGCAAUCAAAACCGAUACAAAUUAACACGAUUAAAUACAAGCUAAAACAAACCUGAUUAAAAAAAAACUAAAAAGCAUAAAGAAAAAAACAAGUUAAUUCAAAACAUUCAACGUAAAUAAAUAAGCUCGUGUGUUGCACAAGAAAUUACUAAUAAGAACUUAAUAAAUGAUCCCAUCAAAAGGGCUAUCAACAUAAGCAUUAAUUCCCUCAAAAAAAAAAAUCGCGUGUUUGACAAAACAUUCCUCAUACCAUCCACUACACGUUGAAUAAGACAAAUAAUCCAAGCAUCAACUAAAAAUAUCUUCAAUAAAUUUAAAAAGAAUCUGACCA